CGUUACUUGUCGGAGUGCCCUUUGGGCUGAGAUCGCAUUCGUGCGGGAUCCGUGAACCUGAUCAGGCUAACACCUGCGUAGGGAACAAGCUGCCUGUAUUA
Molecule: non-coding RNA, 101 nt
Filed under: Pseudoalteromonas citrea
Lineage: Bacteria; Pseudomonadati; Pseudomonadota; Gammaproteobacteria; Alteromonadales; Pseudoalteromonadaceae
Description: TPP sequence
Rfam family: TPP riboswitch aptamer (THI element)
About the family: Vitamin B(1) in its active form thiamin pyrophosphate (TPP) is an essential coenzyme that is synthesised by coupling of pyrimidine and thiazole moieties in bacteria.
Source: Rfam by way of RNAcentral